GAUGUAGUUCGGCCCCGGCGGGGCUGCUCCGGGGGGGAUAGAGCCGCUGGGGAUGCCCCGGGGCGCGUGAGGAUGCGGUUCUGGAUCUCUGGAAUUUAAAGCUGGUCACAUGUUUUCUGCAAAGCCUCACACCUAACUUUGGCCUAUGAGGGGUUAAUGCAGUAGCUGAGUGAUGGCUGUGCUGGCUGGACAGCCUCCCUUCUGCCCUUGCUGCUUCCCCAGCGUUGAAAAAAAGCUGCCUCAGCAACAGAGACAUCCUAAAGAGCUGUUGUGGAGCCUGCUCUUGGAUGGUCUGACAAAGCACAGCAGGCAGCAGAAGCUGAUGGAGAACUGAAUGCUGAAGGCAACCUUGUACUAGAUGCUGGAUGUCAGAAAUCCACAGAGAUAAUACAGAAUAACAGAGGCCUUGGGAAAGGAGGAGGAGGUGGAGAACUGAGAGAGACAGUGUGAUUUGCCUGCACAAAGGAAAAUACUUGAUGA
Molecule: long non-coding RNA, 480 nt
Organism: Empidonax traillii (willow flycatcher)
Lineage: Eukaryota; Metazoa; Chordata; Aves; Passeriformes; Tyrannidae
Exons: 4
Source: RefSeq, a predicted model, not a curated record